RNAcentral lists this ribosomal RNA (685 nucleotides) under uncultured bacterium. RNAcentral's name for it is "bacterial SSU rRNA". It matches the Rfam family "Bacterial small subunit ribosomal RNA", at positions 198 to 890 of the family's 1533-position model. The record is from RNAcentral.
CAUUGAAAGUUUCUUCGGUCUGGGGAGGGGCCUAUGGUCCAUCAGCUAGUUGGCGGGGGUACCGUCCCACCAAGUCUAUGACGGAUACCAGUCGCGAGAGCGUGCCCUGCCUCAUUGGAACUGAGACACUGUCCAAACACCUACGGGUGGCUGCAGUAGAGAAUAUUCCACAAUACACGAAAGUGUGAUGGAGCGACGCCGCGUGUCAAAAGAAGGCCUUCGGGUCGUAAAUGACUUUUCUCAGGGACGAAUUUAUGUCGGUACCUGAGGAAUAAGGGGUUGCUAACUCUGUGCCAGCAGCAGCGGUAAUACAGAGACCCCAAGCAUUAUCCGGAUUUAUUGGGCGUAAAGCGUACGUAGGCGGUUUCGUAAGUCAUCUGUUAAAUCUUCAGGCCUAACCUGGAGCCUGCGGGUGAUACUGCGAGGCUUGAGUAUGGGAGAGGUAAGCGGAAUGCCCGGUGUAGCGGUAAAAUGCGUUAAUAUCGGGUAGACCACCAAAUGCGAAGGCAGCUUACUGGAACAUUUCUGACGCUCAGUGUACGAAAGCGUGGGUAGCGAAAGGGAUUAGAUACCCCUGUACUCCACGCCGUAAACGAUGACACCUAGUUUUUGGCAGUAUCGACCCUCCCAGAGACGACAACCCAAGCUACCGCGUUAAGUUCUCCCCCUGGGAAGUACGCCCGCA